Molecule: ribosomal RNA, 481 nt
Filed under: uncultured bacterium
Lineage: Bacteria
Description: partial 16S ribosomal RNA
Rfam family: Bacterial small subunit ribosomal RNA
Source: RNAcentral
GAUGAACGCUGGCGGCGUGCUUAACACAUGCAAGUCGAACGAAGCAUUUAAGACAGAUUACUUCGGUUUGAAGUCUUUUAUGACUGAGUGGCGGACGGGUGAGUAACGCGUGGGUAACCUGCCUCAUACAGGGGGAUAGCAGCUGGAAACGGCUGGUAAUACCGCAUAAGCGCACAGUACCACAUGGUACAGUGUGAAAAACUCCGGUGGUAUGAGAUGGACCCGCGUCUGAUUAGCUUGUUGGCGGGGUAACGGCCCACCAAGGCGACGAUCAGUAGCCGACCUGAGAGGGUGACCGGCCACAUUGGGACUGAGACACGGCCCAGACUCCUACGGGAAGCAGCAGUGGGGAAUAUUGCACAAUGGAGGAAACUCUGAUGCAGCGACGCCGCGUGAGUGAAGAAGUAGUUCGCUAUGUAAAGCUCUAUCAGCAGGGAAGAUAGUGACGGUACCUGACUAAGAAGCUCCGGCUAAAUACGUG